AUAGGGGAGCCGAAGGGAAACCGAGUCUUAACUGGGCGUUAAGUUGCAGGGUAUAGACCCGAAACCCGGUGAUCUAGCCAUGGGCAGGUUGAAGGUUGGGUAACACUAACUGGAGGACCGAACCGACUAAUGUUGAAAAAUUAGCGGAUGACCUGUGGCUGGGGGUGAAAGGCCAAUCAAACCGGGAGAUAGCUGGUUCUCCCCGAAAGCUAUUUAGGUAGCGCCUCGUGAACUCAUCUUCGGGGGUAGAGCACUGUUUCGGCUAGGGGGUCAUCCCGACUUACCAACCCGAUGCAAACUGCGAAUACCGAAGAAUGUUAUCACGGGAGACACACGGCGGGUGCUAACGUCCGUCGUGAAGAGGGAAACAACCCAGACCGCCAGCUAAGGUCCCAAAGUCAUGGUUAAGUGGGAAACGAUGUGGGAAGGCCCAGACAGCCAGGAUGUUGGCUUAGAAGCAGCCAUCAUUUAAAGAAAGCGUAAUAGCUCACUGGUCGAGUCGGCCUGCGCGGAAGAUGUAACGGGGCUAAACCAUGCACCGAAGCUGCGGCAGCGACGCUUAUGCGUUGUUGGGUAGGGGAGCGUUCUGUAAGCCGUUGAAGGUGUGCUGUGAGGCAUGCUGGAGGUAUCAGAAGUGCGAAUGCUGACAUAAGUAACGAUAAAGCGGGUGAAAAGCCCGCUCGCCGGAAGACCAAGGGUUCCUGUCCAACGUUAAUCGGGGCAGGGUGAGUCGACCCCUAAGGCGAGGCCGAAAGGCGUAGUCGAUGGGAAACAGGUUAAUAUUCCUGUACUUGGUGUUACUGCGAAGGGGGGACGGAGAAGGCUAUGUUAGCCGGGCGACGGUUGUCCCGGUUUAAGCAUGUAGGCGGAGGUUCCAGGUAAAUCCGGUACCUUUUAACGCUGAGGUGUGAUGACGAGGCACUACGGUGCUGAAGUAACAAAUGCCCUGCUUCCAGGAAAAGCCUCUAAGCUCCAGGUAACACGAAAUCGUACCCCAAACCGACACAGGUGGUCAGGUAGAGAAUACCAAGGCGCUUGAGAGAACUCGGGUGAAGGAACUAGGCAAAAUGGUGCCGUAACUUCGGGAGAAGGCACGCUGACAUGUAGGUGAAGCCCCUGCGGGUGGAGCUGAAGUCAGUCGAAGAUACCAGCUGGCUGCAACUGUUUAUUAAAAACACAGCACUGUGCAAACACGAAAGUGGACGUAUACGGUGUGACGCCUGCCCGGUGCCGGAAGGUUAAUUGAUGGGGUUAUCCUUAGGGAGAAGCUCUUGAUCGAAGCCCCGGUAAACGGCGGCCGUAACUAUAACGGUCCUAAGGUAGCGAAAUUCCUUGUCGGGUAAGUUCCGACCUGCACGAAUGGCGUAAUGAUGGCCAGGCUGUCUCCACCCGAGACUCAGUGAAAUUGAACUCGCUGUGAAGAUGCAGUGUACCCGCGGCAAGACGGAAAGACCCCGUGAACCUUUACUAUAGCUUGACACUGAACAUUGAGCCUUGAUGUGUAGGAUAGGUGGGAGGCUUUGAAGCGUGGACGCCAGUCUGCGUGGAGCCAACCUUGAAAUACCACCCUUUAAUGUUUGAUGUUCUAACCUGGUACCGUAAUCCGGUAUGGGGACAGUGUCUGGUGGGUAGUUUGACUGGGGCGGUCUCCUCCUAAAGAGUAACGGAGGAGCACGAAGGUUGGCUAAUCCUGGUCGGACAUCAGGAGGUUAGUGCAAUGGCAUAAGCCAGCUUGACUGCGAGCGUGACGGCGCGAGCAGGUGCGAAAGCAGGUCAUAGUGAUCCGGUGGUUCUGAAUGGAAGGGCCAUCGCUCAACGGAUAAAAGGUACUCCGGGGAUAACAGGCUGAUACCGCCCAAGAGUUCAUAUCGACGGCGGUGUUUGGCACCUCGAUGUCGGCUCAUCACAUCCUGGGGCUGAAGUAGGUCCCAAGGGUAUGGCUGUUCGCCAUUUAAAGUGGUACGCGAGCUGGGUUUAGAACGUCGUGAGACAGUUCGGUCCCUAUCUGCCGUGGGCGCUGGAGAAUUGAGGGGGGCUGCUCCUAGUACGAGAGGACCGGAGUGGACGCAUCACUGGUGUUCGGGUUGUCAUGCCAAUGGCAUUGCCCGGUAGCUACAUGCGGAAGAGAUAAGUGCUGAAAGCAUCUAAGCACGAAACUUGCCCCGAGAUGAGUUCUCCCUGAGACUUAGAGUCUCCUGAAGGAACGUUGAAGACGACGACGUUGAUAGGCCGGGUGUGUAAGCGCAGCGAUGCGUUGAGCUAACCGGUACUAAUGAACCGUGAGGCUUAACCUUACAACGCCGAAG
RNAcentral lists this ribosomal RNA (2306 nucleotides) under Pluralibacter gergoviae. RNAcentral's name for it is "bacterial LSU rRNA". It matches the Rfam family "Bacterial large subunit ribosomal RNA", at positions 657 to 2925 of the family's 2925-position model. Lineage: Bacteria; Pseudomonadati; Pseudomonadota; Gammaproteobacteria; Enterobacterales; Enterobacteriaceae. The record is from RNAcentral.